Molecule: long non-coding RNA, 204 nt
Filed under: Elaeis guineensis (African oil palm)
Lineage: Eukaryota; Viridiplantae; Streptophyta; Magnoliopsida; Arecales; Arecaceae
Description: long non-coding RNA (EGUI_LNC077441)
Source: RNAcentral
GGACCUCCAGAUACAUUCUUCUCUAAGCUCUAAACUCUAUCUCGAAACUCUGCUAAAAUUUUCAUUCGAGCACUCCAUUUCUGUUGAGGCAGAGUACUGACUUGAGCAUCGGAGGGUCUUGCCGGAGCACCCCCAACUUCGAUUUAGACUUCCUUUGUAGGUUUCAGUGGUGGAUGCGACCGCUCGACUCCAGCUUCUCCGACG